This 331-nucleotide ribosomal RNA is filed under the name uncultured eukaryote. Its description in RNAcentral is "partial 18S ribosomal RNA". It matches the Rfam family "Eukaryotic small subunit ribosomal RNA", at positions 1470 to 1796 of the family's 1831-position model. The record is from RNAcentral.
UCCUUAGAUGUUCUGGGCCGCACGCGCGCUACACUGAUGCAUUCAACGAGUUUUGUUUGUUCCUUGGCCGAGAGGCCUGGGCAAUCUUUUGAACUUGCAUCGUGAUAGGGAUAGAUUAUUGCAAUUAUUAAUCUUGAACGAGGAAUUCCUAGUAAACGCAGAUCAUCAAUCUGCAUUGAUUACGUCCCUGCCCUUUGUACACACCGCCCGUCGCACCUACCGAUUGAAUGGUCCGGUGAAGCCUCGGGAUUGUGGUUGGUUUCCUUUAUUGGAGAUUGAUUGCGAGAACUUGUCUAAACCUUAUCAUUUAGAGGAAGGUGAAGUCGUAACA